GACCCUUCUUAAGCCGAGGGUCACCUAGCCAACUGACGUUGUUAGUGAACUUGAUUUUGUUCACAUGUAUAUAAGCCAAUCGCACUCUUUGCGGUUGGCUAUUUUUU
This 107-nucleotide small RNA is filed under the name Vibrio alginolyticus. Its description in RNAcentral is "Qrr RNA". It matches the Rfam family "Qrr RNA". From Rfam's summary of the family: This family represents a set of small RNAs (the Qrr RNAs) that are thought to be involved in the regulation of quorum sensing in Vibrio species. It is believed that these RNAs, guided by a protein, Hfq, can mediate the destabilisation of the quorum-sensing master regulators LuxR/HapR mRNAs. RNAcentral also lists the same sequence under 2 other names. Lineage: Bacteria; Pseudomonadati; Pseudomonadota; Gammaproteobacteria; Vibrionales; Vibrionaceae. The record is from RNAcentral.